This 486-nucleotide ribosomal RNA is filed under the name Desulfobulbus sp. canine oral taxon 078. RNAcentral describes it as "bacterial SSU rRNA". It matches the Rfam family "Bacterial small subunit ribosomal RNA", at positions 9 to 474 of the family's 1533-position model. The record is from RNAcentral. Lineage: Bacteria; Pseudomonadati; Thermodesulfobacteriota; Desulfobulbia; Desulfobulbales; Desulfobulbaceae.
GAGUUUGAUCAUGGCUCAGAACGAACGCUGGCGGCGUGCUUAACACAUGCAAGUCGAACGCGAACGGGACUUCGGUUCCAAGUAGAGUGGCGCACGGGUGAGUAACGCGUAGAUAACCUGUCUUUAUGUCUGGAAUAACACGCCGAAAGGGGUACUAAUACCGGAUAUGUUUGCAUUUCACAGGUAAGGCAAGCAAAGGUGGCCUCUGGAACAAGCUACUGCAUAGAGAGGGGUCUGCGUACCAUUAGCUAGUAGGUGGGGUAAUGGCCUACCUAGGCGACGAUGGUUAGCGGGUCUGAGAGGAUGAUCCGCCACACUGGCACUGGAAUACGGGCCAGACUCCUACGGGAGGCAGCAGUGAGGAAUAUUGCGCAAUGGGGGGAACCCUGACGCAGCGACGCCGCGUGAGUGAGGAAGGCCUUCGGGUCGUAAAGCUCUGUCAAGAGGGAAGAAGUGUACGCUGGCCAAUACCCGGCGUAUUUGACG